AAUAAGUACAAUUUUAUACUGUUUAUGUCCAACGUUUGACCGUUCGUCUUAUUUGAAAUUUUUUCAUGAUUAGUGUUUUUAUUGUUAUUACAUGAUAAAACAUGAAUAGUACUUUAUAUAUGACUUUUUUUAAAAGUUUUUUCAUAAAUUUUUCAAAUAAGACGAGUGGUCAAACAUUGGACACAGAUACCCACGGCUGCACUUAUU
Oryza sativa Japonica Group (Japanese rice) is the source of this 207-nucleotide microRNA precursor. It matches the Rfam family "MIR812 microRNA precursor family". NCBI's taxonomy places the organism in Eukaryota, Viridiplantae, Streptophyta, Magnoliopsida, Poales, Poaceae. The record is from Rfam.